Molecule: long non-coding RNA, 2156 nt
Organism: Sorghum bicolor (sorghum)
Lineage: Eukaryota; Viridiplantae; Streptophyta; Magnoliopsida; Poales; Poaceae
Exons: 2
Source: RefSeq, a predicted model, not a curated record
GUGGCCCAUCUUCCCCCUUCCCGGCCCACGCCGAUCAGGGAUUCAGGAACAGAGAGCGCGCGCGGCGGCCGGCGGCGUGCCGUUUCGACGGCGGUCGCCGCGCUGGCGCUGACUCCACAAAGUGGAAGUGGGUUGACGUGGCGUGGCGGCCAGUGAAGCGUCGGUGUCCUGACACAUGCAUGCUUGCCUGCCAUCGCGAGUUCGCGACGGCUACCUGCCGCCUUCCUUCUGUUCAGGUGGGUUUCAAUUCAAGCAGGCGUAGCUGCUGCUGCUGCUGCUGAGGUUCAUCAUCAUCAUCAUCCACUAAUAAAGUACUAGAAACACACAGAACGUAUUAAUUAGGUGCAGGAGAAAGGAAGCAACCACAAUGAUGAGAGUUUAUGAAUACGCUUUUGCUACGGGCUGUGUGUGUGGUCGAUUCAGCAGGGCAAGCUUGUACAUGUGGCCAUUCGAUUCCUGCUCUCUCACAAGAUUAAUCUUUCUCUGCUGGUUCUGGUUCCAUCGUCUCGUCGUCAACCAUGGCUGAGUUGUUCACUUCACAAGGCAAUGCAAUGCCUUCACCACUCACUCGCGUCGAGUGCACCCACCGCCAUGGAUUCUCCUUCCUUCUCUAGCCUUGGAAGCAAUGAUGGAGCUGACGACGAUGACACCGACGCUGCGUGGCCAUUGCAUGGAUCCCAAGCAAUCACCUCAGCCUCAGCUGGUGCGCUGCUGCCGCUGCACCGUCAGCUUCCCCCAAACAGUGCGUGUGAGUGUGACUACGAGAACGAGACGACGCGCUCGCAUACAUUACAUGGUCCAACCUCCACUUCAUCGGUGACGAAAAGUCAGCCUGUUUAUUCCUCAUACAUAACCCGAUCGGCAUCAGAAGCUUAUAUUUGAUCAGAAUAAUGAAUAGCCGAUAUCUGCAGAUUUCCUGGGUUAAUUAACAACCUGACAUUAACUUUGAGCUUCCACUUGCAGUUGCCGCAGCUCCCAAUUCGAUUGGGUGCGGAUAACAUGGCAUCGGGAGCUGAAAGCUGAUGGAUGGAAGGUCCUUGUCUGUCCAAGACGAUCUACCUUAACUGACACUGUUCGCGGCCAGCAUCCCCUUGCCUGAUUACCAGUGAGCGAACGAGUUAUAACACCUCUCGGCUUUUCCUGAUCAGGCAGCAAGGCACAUUUAGCAGCCUUCCAAUCAGCUUGUGCUGCAGUUGAUGAAGAAUCUAAUCCUCCUUUUUUCUUUUCGAUCGGUGCAUGAGUAGUCAGCGUUGCGUUUCUGCAGCUUCAUGGUCAUUACUCAUUACGUCCUGUAUUUAAAUAAAAAGAACACUAGGAAUCGACCGACAACCUGCCGCCGUUGCUGCAUUCAUUCAGAGAUGAUUUCAUUUCAGUUCGUCCAUGGAUGAUGUCAAGCUUACCCUGGGCUGAUGCAGGCAGCGCACUGCAAAUACGCAAAGCCUGAUGGCAUUGAUCAUCCCUUUGAGCAAAGCAAAGCAACGCAAAGCAAGCGUCCCGAGAUGGCAUUGGUCCAAGACGCCAAGGAAAAGCUUGAAUUUACAGGUGACGGAUGGUUGUUGAGGUGCUGCUGUCAGAGCUUGUACUUCCAUUCCAAAUGCCUAGAAGAAGAGCGUCAUCUGUUAACCUCAUCAUCCUGAAGUCCACUUCUGCUCCAACAUCUAGAAGAAGAGAUUGUUGAUUACACUGCCCAAUGCGUCGUCAUCUCCAUUGUUUCUCAGUCAGUGGCAGUAGUGUACGUUGAACCAUCUCCUGUCUUGCCCUGUAUUUUUAACUUUGACCUUUUUCUUGCGAGUGCAAAAAAAAAAGGCAACACACGUGGAUACAUACGGCCGAGAGUGUAGUACCGUUGCUUGGAGGUCUUGACCUCACCUCAGCAUCACUCUUGGCUCAGCUUCAGCUCCUAGUCCUAGUCCUACUGAUGACGGCGACCUGCUACUGGCGCCCGAGAGUGGCCUCUGCCCUCUGCUAGUCUGCUGCUACUAGAGUCCAGAGGGAGCCUGGGGGGAUUUGGUGACACUUAGACGUCUGAUCGAUGUGUGGCGUUCCAUCUAAUUGAUCCAUUCGCCUUGUUAAUUUGUUGCUGUAAUGUACUAUUACCUGUGUCUCUGGCUGUUUGUUUGUUGAAAUAAAAGGUGAAGAAAGCUUGUUCCUUUUUA